This 237-nucleotide unclassified non-coding RNA is filed under the name uncultured Russula. Its description in RNAcentral is "sequence contains ITS2". Lineage: Eukaryota; Fungi; Basidiomycota; Agaricomycetes; Russulales; Russulaceae. The record is from RNAcentral.
CAUUCUCAAACCUUCUCGGUUUCUCGACCGGGAAGGCUUUGGACUUUGGAGGCUUUUGCUGACCUUCCUUUGUUGGAGCCAGCUCCUCUGAAAUGAAUUAGUAGGGUCUACUUUGCCAACCCUUGACGUGAUAAGUUGUUUUCUACGUCUCGGGUUUAGCAACGUUUUGUCCUGGAUCUUGCUUCUAACUGUCUCACAGAAGACAAAUGGUCGAGUGAUUGCCACUUGACCCACGAA